AAGGCCUAAACAAACCCUAAUUUAAAACAGACUAAUCACAUUUUUUUUAAAAACCUAAAGUAAAGAAAUCAUCCGCGCCGCUCUGUAGACCGUCUGUUUAGAACCCCGAACACUCGCCUGGCUCCGAUUGCGACAGAGUAAACGACGUUCAGGUAACAGCGUUUUCUUUUCAUUUGCUGCUGUUUGUUGCUCUGCUGGCGUCGUUCGUGGUUUGUUGCAAGUAAAGCCUGGAAGAAAGACGCGCAUGGCGCGUGCAGAGGGCGAUAACUGCUGGCACACGCGCGCGGAAGGGCCUGGUGGUUGCAGUGCUGGCUGGGGCUGAAUGUUGUUAGGGUUUGGUUCUAUUUUUUGGUGUAAUAAGCUUAGGGUUAGUGGUUUGGGUCAUUAUAGUUGGGUCAAAUCGGGUUAGUUUUGGGUAGUUUAAAAUGUUUUGGGCUAUGUAUUUGGGUAUGGGUUUUAGGCUAAUACUGGACUACUAUUAUUUUUAUUUUAUUCUGGUUUAUUAUUGAUUAGGCCCAGGUUUUAUUGGAUUUGUAAUUGUAUUUGGUUUUUUAGUGUUUGGGCCAGGCAAAAUUUGGGUAUUACAAUUAUUAUAGUCCAAUUUACUACAUCAACGUCAAAGAUUAUAUCUUUCGAAUUUA
Molecule: long non-coding RNA, 641 nt
Organism: Gossypium raimondii (Peruvian cotton)
Lineage: Eukaryota; Viridiplantae; Streptophyta; Magnoliopsida; Malvales; Malvaceae
Exons: 2
Source: RefSeq, a predicted model, not a curated record